Zingiber officinale is the source of this 262-nucleotide long non-coding RNA. RefSeq lists it as uncharacterized. Lineage: Eukaryota; Viridiplantae; Streptophyta; Magnoliopsida; Zingiberales; Zingiberaceae. The record is from RefSeq and is a predicted model, not a curated record. The transcript is spliced from 2 exons.
GCGUGGAAUGCAACAUGAAGGAAGGAAGAGGUGAGGAUGUGUCUCUGGACACGACGGAGGGCCUAUGGACGGAGUAGGCGAGGAGGCGGGAUGGACGCAUGACAUUGUCCGGGUAUUAGGAGUGCCGAGCUUAUGUUCUCCAUGGAGGGGGAUUUUUGCUUUGGUGUUGUCGAGGGUUCUUGGUUGGGUUUUCUCUUUGUUAAACUCUUGUGUGGGAUGUUGGCUUUUACUUCCGAUAAAAUAAAUGUUUGAUUUGGUAUCA